UUGACCUCGGAUCAGGUAGGAAUACCCGCUGAACUUAAGCAUAUCAAUAAGCCGGAGGAAA
This 61-nucleotide ribosomal RNA is filed under the name Fusarium graminearum. Its description in RNAcentral is "partial 28S ribosomal RNA". The record is from RNAcentral. RNAcentral also lists the same sequence under 6 other names. Lineage: Eukaryota; Fungi; Ascomycota; Sordariomycetes; Hypocreales; Nectriaceae.